CGGGGAGGAGUCUGGCCUCUUCAGCUCCUGUGUGGUGGCCUGAUAUUCAGUCUGUGAGCUGGGAGCCUGUUGGCAGGUCCCUCUUUUUAUUUUCGCUGAGAGCUUUCUUUUACUAAAUGCCACCAUCCUUACCUUUCAAGGUGUCUGCGUGCCUAAUUUUUCCUGGUUGUUAGACAAGAACCCGGAUUUUAGUUGAACUCUGGAGCAAAAAUCCUGCAUCAUUUGUCAACAACAAGAGGCCAGGACCUCCCAAGAAAAGCUUUACUAAUGUGGGUGUCAUUGUGACUGGCUGCUACCUCCCCAUGAGUCUUCUAAAAUAAAACCUGCAAAUUCACAUCUUCCCCAUGCUUCCAGAGAAUGCAUAUUCUUCCUUUGAAAAAAGAAAACCAGGAAGAUUUGAAUAGAUAUUUCUCAAAAGAAGACAUACGAAUGGCAAACAGACAUAUGAAAAUGUACUCAAAAUCAUUGAUCAUCAGAGAAAUGUAAAUCAAAACUGCAAUGAGAUAUCAUCCGACUCCAGUUAAAAUGGCUUUUAUCCAAAAGUCAGGCAAUAAAAAAUGCUGGUAAGGAUGUAGAGAAAAGGGAACCCUUGUACACUGUUAGUGGGAAUGUAAAUUAAUACAAUCACUAUGGAGAACAGUUUGGAGGAUCCUCAAAAAACUAAAAAUAGAGCUACCAUAUGAUUCAGCAAUCUCACUGCUAGGUAUAUACCCAAAAGUAUAUUGAAGAGACAUCUGCACUCCCAUGUUUGUUGCAGCACUGUUCAUAAUAGCCAAGAUUUGGAAGCCACCUAAGUGUCCAUCAACAGAUGAAUGGAGAAACUGUGGUACAUAUACACAACGGAGUGCUAUUCAGCCAUAAAAAAGAAUGAUACUCUGUCAUCUGCAACAACAUGAAUGGAACUGGAGAUCAUUAUGUUGUUAAAUAAGCCAGACACAGAAAGACAAACAUCACAUAUUUUCACUUAUUUUGGGGAUAUAAAAGUCAAAACAAACUCAUGGAGAUAGAGAACAGAUAGACGGUUACCAGAGGCUAGGAGGAGGAGUGGUGGGGGGCAGUUAGUGAUGGUUAAUUGGUACAAAAAAAUGGUUAGAAAUAAUAAAUAAGACCUAGUAUUAGAUAGGACAACAGGAGGACUAUAGUCAAAAAUAAUUUAUUUGUACAUUUCAAAGUAACUAAAAGAGUGUAAUUGUAUUAUUUGUAGCACAUAGGAUAAAUGCUUGAGGUGACGGAUACCCCAUUUACCCUGAUGUGAUUAUUACACAUCGUAUGCCUGUACCAAAAGAUCUCAUGUACCUCAUAAAUACAUACACCUACUAUAUACCCACACAAAUUAAAAAUUAAAAAAAUUUAAAGAAAUUACAGUUUGUUGGUUUUGAAUAUUUGACCAAAUUUUUUACUAAGCACAGAUAGAUUGAAUAUAAUUUUAUUGUCCUUUUGACAUUAUGAUAAUGAAGGUAUCUACACAGAAGUCUGAGAUGAGAAAAAAAUGAUAUAAUAUCCACCUACUACAUAGUGGGUAGUUUAUAUACUAAAGUUAUUGUUAUGAGAAAGAAUGGCUUAGGAAUAUUAUUUAAAAUUAAUUAAGGGGUGUUAAAAAUAAAAUACCAAGUGUAAAAAUGACAAAGGCAAGAAGAAACAGUAUAUAAUGUGAGUAAAUCUUAAUCUUUCCAAGAGAGGAGACAGUACAUAAUGUCUAAAAUUGUUAAACCAUGAAAUAGAAAUAUAGUUAUUUUAUUCAUAAUUAAGGAGAUAACUACUAUAGCACGAAAUCGUGCCAAAAAUGGUUGCCUCUGGGAAAUGUGAUUAUAGAUAUUAUAAUAUUUUGGACUGUAAAAAUCUGCUUUUAAGACUGAGGAAAUACAAAUAGGACAAUAUUUAUUUGAAAUUUGUAUCCUCAGGGAGUGUAAAGAAAUUAAUGUAUCCACAAAAUAAUAAUAGCUGCUAUUUGAAAACAUAGUUUUCUUGAAAGUUAAAAUAGUAAUAGUCUUCUAAAAAUUUUGUUAGUUUUGGUUUUCUCUUUAAUCUGAGUUAUGUAGAAAAGUGCUUAUUUCAAAUUAGGUAGGCUUGUUUUAUUCCUUUUUCUGUCUUUUUUCUAUCAACUAGUGUUUUAUUGUGUUCAGAAAAUGCCAUGCAUUAAAAGACUACUUUUGAGAAUUUCUAGAGAUUUUCUUUGUUACUAAAGAGAUUUUUGUAAUUGUUACAUGGGAUUUUAAAAAGAAUGUAAAUUAUCCUUUUUGUCAAGUAUAAUGAUUUCUGAAACCUAGCUGUGUCAGAAUACUGUAUAAUACUGUAAUAGUAUGUUGUUUUUGGCUAUGUGUACUUAUUUCUUAGAGUGGUAUGUUAAAGCCUCGACCUUGUGACUUUGUUUAUUUCUCUCUCUACAUCUAAACAUUUCCAAGACAUGUUAUUUGCAAUACCAAGACCAUAACUAUUAUGUAUUUAAUCAAAAUAAAAUAUUUCGGCUCUCUAUAAUUCACCUUGAACUUUAUUUUGUUAAAUAUAAAUGUUGUUGAUUAUACAACAUUUCAUUAUCAAUCCCUAGACACAUUUCUAAUCCACUAUAAUUGUUUUAAAAUAAAAGGAGAAGGGAAGGUUGUA
RNAcentral lists this long non-coding RNA (2601 nucleotides) under Homo sapiens (human). RNAcentral describes it as "HSALNT0074964". The record is from RNAcentral. Lineage: Eukaryota; Metazoa; Chordata; Mammalia; Primates; Hominidae.